GGUAAUGAAUGAAAUAUUCUCCUGAUAUUAAUUUUGCUCAUAAUAUUCAAUUGGGAAGAAUUGGCAUGCUCUUCUCUGCUUCAAGGACAGAGUCACUGGUUUUUGCUUGCAAUAUGAAGCAUUGUUGGCUUUUAUCAAUCCAUAUUUGUGCUCCCGGUGUUUACCCUUCUAUUUGUGGGCAGAGUAUAAUUCUUGGGAUAUCAUACGUGUUAGAAGUUCAUUUUAAAGAAAAUAUAUGUUAGAAUUCAAUUAGCAAAACUGUUCUACUAUGUGAGGAAUUGGGGUUUUAGAAUUUGAGUGCUCAUGUAUUGUAUACAUGAUAAAAUUAUUAAGAUUGAGAGGGACAA
This 347-nucleotide unclassified non-coding RNA is filed under the name Hevea brasiliensis (rubber tree). The record is from RNAcentral. Lineage: Eukaryota; Viridiplantae; Streptophyta; Magnoliopsida; Malpighiales; Euphorbiaceae.